Molecule: unclassified non-coding RNA, 334 nt
Filed under: soil metagenome
Description: partial contains 5.8S ribosomal RNA, internal transcribed spacer 2, and large subunit ribosomal RNA
Rfam family: 5.8S ribosomal RNA (bases 1-120)
Source: RNAcentral
GAUGAAGAACGUAGCGAAAUGCGAUAAGUAAUGUGAAUUGCAGAAUUCAGUGAAUCAUCGAAUCUUUGAACGCACAUUGCGCCCGCCAGUAUUCUGGCGGGCAUGCCUGUUCGAGCGUCAUUUCAACCAUCAAGCCCCGGGCUUGUGUUGGGGACCUGCGGCUGCCGCAGGCCCUGAAAAGCAGUGGCGGGCUCGCUGUCACACCGAGCGUAGUAGCAUACAUCUCGCUCUGGGCGUGCUGCGGGUUCCGGCCGUUAAACCACCUUUUAACCCAAGGUUGACCUCGGAUCAGGUAGGAAGACCCGCUGAACUUAAGCAUAUCAAUAACGGAGGA